Long non-coding RNA from Mytilus trossulus (common blue mussel), 1575 nucleotides. RefSeq lists it as uncharacterized. The transcript is spliced from 5 exons. NCBI's taxonomy places the organism in Eukaryota, Metazoa, Mollusca, Bivalvia, Mytilida, Mytilidae. The record is from RefSeq and is a predicted model, not a curated record.
UUGGUUUGGAGUUUUUAGACCCUUCAUUGUUGACCAGUGGAAAACUUCCCGCCGAAGUGUUUCAAAUAGCACUUUGUCUUCAAACGAACAAGAUGGACACAUGCAGUUUACAGAAGCAAAAGAUUUGAUUUGAACUGUUCGUGAAACCACACAUACUCAAGAGAAUUUACAAGACUAUUAUCCACAAAAUGCAACAGUCUUAUUUUGAUGAAUUGUUGAACCAGAGAAAUGUGAAGACUUACAGACACCUAGACUGUAUAGUCAACAUAACAAUGAUUAGAGAAUCAGACUACAGUGAACAUUACAAUGAUUAGAAAAUCAGACUAGAGUCAACAUUACAAUGAUUAGAGAAUCAGACUAUAGUCAACAUUACAAUGAUUAGAAAAUCAGCCAGCUGCAUUUCAUCAAUCAGUUUAUGAUGAAGCUUUACAGCAUUGGAAAUGAUUACUCAGGGACCAAACAACUGAGCAGAAAGAAGAACUGUAUGACCUUGAAGAGUAAGCAAUGUAUUAAGUAUAUUUGGGGUUACCAAAGAGUAUGGUAAGAACCUCAUCUUAAAUUAUACUUGAUUGCAGCAGUGGGAUGUUACAGUCAUAGACGUUGGAUAGACUCCGUUGUACUAGGCCAGGGAGGGUAGCGCAGAGUUUCCGCAGCACUAUACAAUAGUAGCAAGAUCACUCUACCAUGAGCUUGUUAAAGGGCCUGUUUGAUGAAAGUGACACCAACGUUCUCCACAACACUACAGAUUUGUUUUUGCAGAUGCAGCUGAGAGGAUGUUUCAGUCAUGGACUCAUUUGAUGGAAGUGGCACCAACAUUCUCAAACACUAAUAAUUUACAAAUUUGUUUUUGUUGUAGAUGCAACCUCAGUCAUACACCCUAGAGUUUGGCUAUGUUGUGACAGAAGAAGAGUGGCAUAUAGACUUCUGUAUGUCCAUUUUUAUGGAAGUGACAAAUUACUAAUCUUUCUUCUUAUAUCCAUUUCAGAGUUCUUACAAAGAUGCAUAGAUUGCAGCAGUGGGAUGUUACAGUCAUAGACGUUGGAUAGACUCCGUUGUACUAGGCCAGGGAGGGUAGCACAGAGUUUCCGCAGCACUAUACAAUAGUAACAAGAUCACUCUACCAUGAGCUUGUUAAAGGGCCCGUUUGAUGAAAGUGACACCAACGUUCUCCACAACACUACAGAUUUGUUUUUGCAGAUGCAGCUGAGAGGAUGUUUCAGUCAUGGACUCAUUUGAUGGAAGUGACACCAACAUUCUCAAACACUAAUAAUUUACAAAUUUGUUUUUGUUGUAGAUGCAACCUCAGUCAUACACCCUAGAGUUUGGCUAUGUUGUGACAGAAGAAGAGUGGCAUGUAGAUUUCUUUUAUGGAAGUGCAAAUAACUAAUCUUUCUUCUUCAUAUCUAUUUCAGAGUUCUUACGAAGAUGUAUAGGUAUGCAGUAUUUAUUAUUUUUGUCUCUGUGUAUUUUUGUCAAUGAGGUAAAACCACAGAACAAAUCAAUCAGAAGUAUUAACUGGUGUAAUUUGAGAACACCCUGGAACACGAGAAAUAUCCUACCUCACAAAAUUUAACA